UGGGGAAUUUUGGACAAUGGGGGCAACCCUGAUCCAGCCAUGCCGCGUGUGUGAAGAAGGCCUUCGGGUUGUAAAGCACUUUUGUUCGGAACGAAACGGCUGAAGCGAAUAACUUCAGCUAAUGACGUACCGAAGAA
This 137-nucleotide ribosomal RNA is filed under the name uncultured beta proteobacterium. RNAcentral describes it as "partial 16S ribosomal RNA". It matches the Rfam family "Bacterial small subunit ribosomal RNA", at positions 355 to 485 of the family's 1533-position model. The record is from RNAcentral. Lineage: Bacteria; Pseudomonadati; Pseudomonadota; Betaproteobacteria.